RNAcentral lists this ribosomal RNA (508 nucleotides) under uncultured Glomus. RNAcentral describes it as "SSU rRNA". It matches the Rfam family "Eukaryotic small subunit ribosomal RNA", at positions 569 to 1078 of the family's 1831-position model. Lineage: Eukaryota; Fungi; Glomeromycota; Glomeromycetes; Glomerales; Glomeraceae. The record is from RNAcentral.
AGCAGCCGCGGUAAUUCCAGCUCCAAUAGCGUAUAUUAAAGUUGUUGCAGUUAAAAAGCUCGUAGUUGAAUUUCGGGGUUAGUAGGUUGGUCAUGCCUCUGGUAUGUACUGGUCUCACUGAUUCCUCCUUCCUGAUGAGCCGUAAUGCCAUUAAUUUGGUGUUGCGGGGAAUUUGGACUGUUACUUUGAAAAAAUUAGAGUGUUUAAAGCAAACUAACGCUUGAAUACAUUAGCAUGGAAUAAUGAAAUAGGACGUUCGAUCCUAUUUUGUUGGUUUCUAGGAUUGACGUAAUGAUUAAUAGGGAUAGUUGGGGGCAUUAGUAUUCAAUUGUCAGAGGUGAAAUUCUUGGAUUUAUUGAAGACUAACUACUGCGAAAGCAUUUGCCAAGGAUGUUUUCAUUAAUCAAGAACGAAAGUUAGGGGAUCGAAGACGAUCAGAUACCGUCGUAGUCUUAACCAUAAACUAUGCCGACUAGGGAUCGGAUGAUGUUAAUUUUUUAAUGACUCA